RNAcentral lists this microRNA precursor (191 nucleotides) under Oryza sativa (Asian cultivated rice). Its description in RNAcentral is "miR5143b stem-loop (osa-MIR5143b)". Lineage: Eukaryota; Viridiplantae; Streptophyta; Magnoliopsida; Poales; Poaceae. The record is from miRBase by way of RNAcentral.
UGACUCAUGCUUCCAUGUUGACCAACAUACCACCAAAAUAUUAUGAUGUUCGCAUGUUGCCCUGUUUACCACUAUUAAUCAAGACACUCCCCCUCCUCUCUUUUGUUUUCCUGGUGAACAUCAAUAUAUUGGUAAACAGGCUAAGGUUGUAAUUUUCUGUGGUAUGUUGGCAAUGUAGGAAGUCUGAAUGG